This 453-nucleotide ribosomal RNA is filed under the name uncultured Paraprevotella sp. RNAcentral's name for it is "partial 16S ribosomal RNA". It matches the Rfam family "Bacterial small subunit ribosomal RNA", at positions 341 to 792 of the family's 1533-position model. The record is from RNAcentral. Lineage: Bacteria; Pseudomonadati; Bacteroidota; Bacteroidia; Bacteroidales; Prevotellaceae.
ACGGAAGGCAGCAGUGAGGAAUAUUGGUCAAUGGGCGUGAGCCUGAACCAGCCAAGUAGCGUGAGGGAUGACUGCCCUAUGGGUUGUAAACCUCUUUUGUUUGGGAAUAUAGUCAGGGACGCGUCCCUGUUUGUAUGUACCUUUCGAAUAAGCAUCGGCUAAUUCCGUGCCAGCAGCCGCGGUAAUACGGAAGAUGCGAGCGUUAUCCGGAUUUAUUGGGUUUAAAGGGAGCGUAGGCGGACUGUUGGGUCUGUGGUCAAAUGUCAGGGCCCAACCUUGGCAUGCCAUGGAAACCGGCGGUCUUGAAUACACGCAAGGCAGAUGGAAUUCGUCGUGUAGCGGUGAAAUGCUUAGAUAUGACGAAGAACUCCGAUUGCGAAGGCAGUCUGCCGGAGUGCGAUUGACGCUGAGGCUCGAAAGCGCGGGUAUCAAACAGGAUUAGAUACCCUGGUA